Molecule: small nuclear RNA, 23 nt
Filed under: Arabidopsis thaliana (thale cress)
Lineage: Eukaryota; Viridiplantae; Streptophyta; Magnoliopsida; Brassicales; Brassicaceae
Description: snRNA_18556
Source: RNAcentral
UGGCGCGAAGCUACCGUGCGCUG